Haliotis rufescens (red abalone) is the source of this 162-nucleotide long non-coding RNA. RefSeq lists it as uncharacterized. Lineage: Eukaryota; Metazoa; Mollusca; Gastropoda; Lepetellida; Haliotidae. The transcript has 2 exons. The record is from RefSeq and is a predicted model, not a curated record.
CACUUACAACACAUUCGCCAGACUCGCUACACUGGAUGCUUUAGACUUAAUCUAAGAAAAAACUACGGACUCUACACCGGCACCAGUACUCGUGCAGAAGAAUCUAUUUAUAAUUUAACUUAUUUGAUAUUUAUUUGUCCAUUAAAGAAUAUUCAAAGAAAA